This 485-nucleotide ribosomal RNA is filed under the name uncultured bacterium. Its description in RNAcentral is "partial 16S ribosomal RNA". It matches the Rfam family "Bacterial small subunit ribosomal RNA", at positions 30 to 508 of the family's 1533-position model. The record is from RNAcentral.
AUUGAACGCUGGCGGCAGGCCUAACACAUGCAAGUCGAGCGGAUGAAGGGAGCUUGCUCCUGGAUUCAGCGGCGGACGGGUGAGUAAUGCCUAGGAAUCUGCCUGGUAGUGGGGGAUAACGUCCGGAAACGGGCGCUAAUACCGCAUACGUCCUGAGGGAGAAAGUGGGGGAUCUUCGGACCUCACGCUAUCAGAUGAGCCUAGGUCGGAUUAGCUAGUUGGUGGGGUAAAGGCCUACCAAGGCGACGAUCCGUAACUGGUCUGAGAGGAUGAUCAGUCACACUGGAACUGAGACACGGUCCAGACUCCUACGGGAGGCAGCAGUGGGGAAUAUUGGACAAUGGGCGAAAGCCUGAUCCAGCCAUGCCGCGUGUGUGAAGAAGGUCUUCGGAUUGUAAAGCACUUUAAGUUGGGAGGAAGGGCAGCAAGUUAAUACCUUGCUGUUUUGACGUUACCAACAGAAUAAGCACCGGCUAACUUCGUGC